RNAcentral lists this small RNA (51 nucleotides) under Flavobacterium cauense R2A-7. Its description in RNAcentral is "Flavo-1 RNA". It matches the Rfam family "Flavo-1 RNA". Lineage: Bacteria; Pseudomonadati; Bacteroidota; Flavobacteriia; Flavobacteriales; Flavobacteriaceae. The record is from RNAcentral.
GUUUAGCCCCGAUUGCAACGGCACGAAGUAAAGUGGAAAGCGGGAACAAGG